GUGUCAGCAGCCGCGGUAAUACAGAGGGUGCAAGCGUUGUUCGGAAUUACUGGGCGUAAAGCGCGUGUAGGUGGCGAUGUAAGUCGGGUGUGAAAUCCCUCAGCUUAACUGAGGAAGUGCACUCGAUACUGUGUCGCUUGAGUGUUGGAGGGGAUGGCGGAAUUCCCGGUGUAGAGGUGAAAUUCGUAGAUAUCGGGAGGAACACCUGUGGCGAAGGCGGCCAUCUGGACAACUACUGACACUGAGACGCGAAAGCGUGGGUAGCAAACAGGAUUAGAUACCCUGGUAGUCC
Molecule: ribosomal RNA, 292 nt
Filed under: uncultured bacterium
Lineage: Bacteria
Description: partial 16S ribosomal RNA
Rfam family: Bacterial small subunit ribosomal RNA
Source: RNAcentral